RNAcentral lists this ribosomal RNA (791 nucleotides) under uncultured Enterobacteriaceae bacterium. RNAcentral describes it as "SSU rRNA". It matches the Rfam family "Bacterial small subunit ribosomal RNA", at positions 68 to 850 of the family's 1533-position model. The record is from RNAcentral. Lineage: Bacteria; Pseudomonadati; Pseudomonadota; Gammaproteobacteria; Enterobacterales; Enterobacteriaceae.
GGUAGCACAGAGAGCUUGCUCUCGGGUGACGAGCGGCGGACGGGUGAGUAAUGUCUGGGAAACUGCCUGAUGGAGGGGGAUAACUACUGGAAACGGUAGCUAAUACCGCAUAAUGUCGCAAGACCAAAGUGGGGGACCUUCGGGCCUCAUGCCAUCAGAUGUGCCCAGAUGGGAUUAGCUAGUAAGUGGGGUAACGGCUCACCUAGGCGACGAUCCCUAGCUGGUCUGAGAGGAUGACCAGCCACACUGGAACUGAGACACGGUCCAGACUCCUACGGGAGGCAGCAGUGGGGAAUAUUGCACAAUGGGCGCAAGCCUGAUGCAGCCAUGCCGCGUGUGUGAAGAAGGCCUUCGGGUUGUAAAGCACUUUCAGCGGGGAGGAAGGCGUUAAGGUUAAUAACCUUGGCGAUUGACGUUACCCGCAGAAGAAGCACCGGCUAACUCCGUGCCAGCAGCCGCGGUAAUACGGAGGGUGCAAGCGUUAAUCGGAAUUACUGGGCGUAAAGCGCACGCAGGCGGUCUGUCAAGUCGGAUGUGAAAUCCCCGGGCUCAACCUGGGAACUGCAUUCGAAACUGGCAGGCUAGAGUCUUGUAGAGGGGGGUAGAAUUCCAGGUGUAGCGGUGAAAUGCGUAGAGAUCUGGAGGAAUACCGGUGGCGAAGGCGGCCCCCUGGACAAAGACUGACGCUCAGGUGCGAAAGCGUGGGGAGCAAGCAGGAUUAGAUACCCUGGUAGUCCACGCCGUAAACGAUGUCGAUUUGGAGGUUGUGCCCUUGAGGCGUGGCUUCCGGA